Carya illinoinensis is the source of this 632-nucleotide long non-coding RNA. RefSeq lists it as uncharacterized. NCBI's taxonomy places the organism in Eukaryota, Viridiplantae, Streptophyta, Magnoliopsida, Fagales, Juglandaceae. The record is from RefSeq and is a predicted model, not a curated record. The transcript is spliced from 2 exons.
CGUAGAAUUCAAAGCUAAAAAGGCCACGUAGAAAAGAGUGAGACAGGCUUUCGAUUUUCAAAUCUUUGAAAACGAUCGAUGGCACUGCUCAUAACCCUAAAAUCAAUGGAGUUUUACAGUGCUACUUGACCUGGAACUCGUAUAAGUACGGCAUGCAGCAGUACCGUCUAACAUCCAUGCUUCAAGGUCAAGGUCGAAUAUCGCAUCUAAUUUCAAUUUGAAUGAGUAGAAUACACACACACACAAACAGAGAACAGACAAGCUUCAAGGGUGUGAACCAUCAUCGGCACCAAGUACCACGGCAACACUUGCAAGCCAGAAAGGAAUAUCUGCAAACAUUUGCAAUGAUGAAGCUCAGUAAAGCUUUGCAACAAUUUGAAGAGGAUCAGGAGAAAGAAGUAGAGCAGAAGGCAGUUGUGUGUGAUUUAUAGUUCUGUCAGAUUCGACAGUUAAAAACUACUUGAACUUAGCAGCUGAAAUGCCUAUCAUUUCAAGCAUUUAGCAUUAAAAAUAUCUUUAGACCAGUUGUCUUCAAGUUCAUGUUUAUUCCACAAUGGCCAUUACAUAAUAUUUCGAGUUUGUGUUUGACAUUCUUGCAUAUAUGAAUACAAAAAUUCUAUGUUCUUUUGUGA